CCUACGGGUGGCAGCAGUGGAGAAUAUUUCACAAUGGGGGAAACCCUGAUGCAGCGACGCCGCGUGAGUGAAGAAGUAAUUCGUUAUGUAAAGCUCUUUCAGCAGGGGAGAAAAUGACGGUACCUGAGUCAGAAGCCCCGGCUAACUACGUGCCAGCAGCCGCGGUAAUACGUAGGGGGCAAGCGUUAUCCGGAUUUACUGGGUGUAAAGGGAGCGUAGACGGCAGUGCAAGUCUGGAGUGAAAGGCGGGGGCUCAACCCCCGGACUGCUCUGGAAACUGUACGGCUGGAGUGCAGGAGAGGUAAGUGGAAUUCCGAGUGUAGCGGUGAAAUGCGUAGAUAUUAGGAGGAACACCAGUGGCGAAGGUGGCUUACUGGACUGUAACUGACGUUGAGGCUCGAAAGCGUGGGGAGCAAACAGGAUUAGAUACCCGUGUAGUC
RNAcentral lists this ribosomal RNA (440 nucleotides) under uncultured bacterium. RNAcentral's name for it is "partial 16S ribosomal RNA". It matches the Rfam family "Bacterial small subunit ribosomal RNA", at positions 338 to 795 of the family's 1533-position model. The record is from RNAcentral.